AGUGAACGCUGGCGGUAGGCCUAACACAUGCAAGUCGAACGGCAGCACAGGAGAGCUUGCUCUCUGGGUGGCGAGUGGCGGACGGGUGAGGAAUACAUCGGAAUCUACUCUGUCGUGGGGGAUAACGUAGGGAAACUUACGCUAAUACCGCAUACGACCUACGGGUGAAAGCAGGGGACCUUCGGGCCUUGCGCGAUUGAAUGAGCCGAUGUCGGAUUAGCUAGUUGGCGGGGGAAAGGCCCACCAAGGCGACGAUCCGUAGCUGGGCUGAGAGGAUGAAAAGCAAAACUGGAACUGAGACGAGGUCCAGACUGCUACGGGCGGAAGCACUGGGGAAUAUUGGACAGUGGGCGCAAGCCUGCUCCGGCCAUACCGCGGGGGUGAAGAAGGCCGUCGGAUUGUAAAGCCCUUUUGUUGGGAAAGAAAUCCAGCUGGCUAAUACCCGGUUGGGAUGACGGUACCCAAAGAAUAAGCACCGGCUAACUUCGUGCCAGCCGCCGCAGUAA
This 506-nucleotide ribosomal RNA is filed under the name uncultured bacterium. RNAcentral's name for it is "partial 16S ribosomal RNA". It matches the Rfam family "Bacterial small subunit ribosomal RNA", at positions 29 to 523 of the family's 1533-position model. The record is from RNAcentral.